Non-coding RNA from Plenodomus lindquistii, 81 nucleotides. Lineage: Eukaryota; Fungi; Ascomycota; Dothideomycetes; Pleosporales; Leptosphaeriaceae. The record is from the annotation of a GenBank genome assembly.
GGCUGGCACAAUCGGUAGCGCGUGAGACUCUUAAUCUCAAGGUUGUGGGUUCGGUUCGUAAAGCCUUCAUUCAGUUCAAUA